Molecule: ribosomal RNA, 255 nt
Filed under: uncultured bacterium
Lineage: Bacteria
Description: partial 16S ribosomal RNA
Rfam family: Bacterial small subunit ribosomal RNA
Source: RNAcentral
GACAGAGGGUGCGAACGUUUGUUCGGAAUUACUGGGCGUAAAGCGCAUGUAGGCGGCAGCGCAAGUCGGGCGUGAAAUCCCACGGCUCAACCGUGGAAGUGCACUCGAAACUGCGCAGCUAGAGUCCUGGAGAGGAAGGUGGAAUGCUUGGUGUAGAGGUGAAAUUCGUAGAUAUCAAGCGGAACACCGGUGGCGAAGGCGGCCUUCUGGACAGUGACUGACGCUGAGAUGCGAAAGCGUGGGGAGCAAACAGGG